UGGGGAAUUUUGGACAAUGGGCGAAAGCCUGAUCCAGCAAUGCCGCGUGUGUGAAGAAGGCCUUCGGGUUGUAAAGCACUUUUGUCCGGAAAGAAAUCCUCUGGGUUAAUACCUCGGGGGGAUGACGGUACCGGAAGAAUAAGUACCGGCUAACUACGUGCCAGCAGCCGCGGUAAUACGUAGGGUGCAAGCGUUAAUCGGAAUUACUGGGCGUAAAGCGUGCGCAGGCGGUUUUGUAAGACGGAUGUGAAAUCCCCGGGCUUAACCUGGGAACUGCAUUCGUGACUGCAAGGCUAGAGUAUGGCAGAGGGGGGUAGAAUUCCACGUGUAGCAGUGAAAUGCGUAGAGAUGUGGAGGAAUACCGAUGGCGAAGGCAGCCCCCUGGGCCAAUACUGACGCUCAUGCACGAAAGCGUGGGGAGCAAACAGGAUUAGAUACCCUGGUAGUCCACGCCCUAAACGAUGUCAACUAGUUGUUGGGGAUUCAUUUCCUUAGUAACGUAGCUAACGCGUGAAGUUGACCGCCUGGGGAGUACGGUCGCAAGAUUAAAACUUAAAUGAAUUGACGGGGUCAUAGCUGUUUCCUG
RNAcentral lists this ribosomal RNA (586 nucleotides) under uncultured bacterium. Its description in RNAcentral is "partial 16S ribosomal RNA". It matches the Rfam family "Bacterial small subunit ribosomal RNA", at positions 355 to 1376 of the family's 1533-position model. The record is from RNAcentral.